AUUGAACGCUGGCGGCAGGCCUAACACAUGCAAGUCGAACGAGUGGCGGACGGGUGAGUAAAGUCUGGGAAACUGCCCGAUGGAGGGGGAUAACUACUGGAAACGGGAGCGAAAACCGCAUACGCUCGGAUGUGCGCAGAUGGGAUUAGCUAGUAGGUGGGGUAACGGCCCACCUAGGCGACGAUCCCUAGCUGGUCUGAGAGGAUGACCAGCCACACUGGAACGGAGACACGGUCCAGACUCCGACGUGAGGCAGCAGUGGGGAAUAUUGCACAAUGGGCGCAAGCCUGAUGCAGCCAUGCCGCGUGUAUGAAGAAGGCCUUCGGGUUGUAAAGUACUUUCAGCGAGGAGGCGUUACUCGCAGAAGAAGCACCGGCUAACUCCGUGCCAGCAGCCGCGGUAAUAC
RNAcentral lists this ribosomal RNA (406 nucleotides) under uncultured bacterium. Its description in RNAcentral is "partial 16S ribosomal RNA". It matches the Rfam family "Bacterial small subunit ribosomal RNA", at positions 29 to 526 of the family's 1533-position model. The record is from RNAcentral.